RNAcentral lists this ribosomal RNA (274 nucleotides) under uncultured bacterium. RNAcentral's name for it is "partial 16S ribosomal RNA". It matches the Rfam family "Archaeal small subunit ribosomal RNA", at positions 473 to 747 of the family's 1478-position model. The record is from RNAcentral.
AAACCAGUAUCUCAAGUGGUCAGGAGGAUUAUUGGGCCUAAAGCAUCCGUAGCCUGUUCUAUAAGUUUCCGGUUAAAUCCACUAGCUCAACUAGUGGGCUGCCGAAAAUACUGCAGAGCUAGGGAGUGGGAGAGGUAGACGGUACUCGGGAGGAAGUGGUAAAAUGCUUUGAUCUCUCGAUGACCACCUGUGGCGAAGGCGGUCUACCAGAACACGUCCGACGGUGAGGGAUGAAAGCUGGGGGAGCAAACCGGAUUAGAAACCCGAGUAGUCC